Non-coding RNA from Pimephales promelas (fathead minnow), 825 nucleotides. Lineage: Eukaryota; Metazoa; Chordata; Actinopteri; Cypriniformes; Leuciscidae. The record is from RefSeq and is a predicted model, not a curated record.
AGUGCCGACUAUAUUUCAAGUCGUCACGGCGGGGUAUUGGGUAAAGUUUUCAAUUAGCAAUAAUCGCGCCUCGGAUAAACCUCAUAGGCUACGAUACUGCCACUGCGCAAAGCUGAAUUUGAAAUCAGCCAAAGAGGGGAAGUGAUCGAACAACACAGGAGGUUCAUCAAUGUCUCCCCAGGGGCGAGCUUGACAUACAUCUGAGCGCUGUAAUUCUCAGUGAACCAUAAUAGUGGAUUAAAUGGAGACUUACCUUCGAAAACAUCCACCAUGUUGAAGAAGGCCAGAGACAGCGAAGACUUUCCACUGCCCGUUCUACCACAGAUGCCCACCUGUUACAGUAAGAACAACAUAGUAUCGUGAAGAACCAGCCUGAAAAUAUUCAAGACCAUCAAUCAGCAAAGCAGUUACCCAGUCAGCAUGGAUGAGGUACUGCAGCUUAUGAGUGACCAAGACCAAUGUCCGUUUGUCGUCCUGGAGGAACUUGAGUAUCCCCUCCUGCAUCAGAUGAUCACUGAGGUGGAUGUCCAGGGCAGAGAACGGGUCAUCCUAUAAGUGUUCCACAAUCCCAGAGAUGCAGAGUGGCCCGGCAAAGCCCAGCAGGUCUGCCAUGUACCGGAAGGUGCUGCUGAGGAGGAUUGAGCCCCCAAAGGCUCGGUACAUGGAUUUCCAGAUGGAUGGGGAUUUUUCUGGGUCCUCUGUGUUCUGCUGUCAAAAUUUGAUAAGCAACGAGGAAUCCUUCAGACGCAGAUAGUUGGUCAAGGCCCUCAUUGCGAUAGGAAGUUUGCCAAUCUUCUUCAGCUCAAUGGGUCUCUUAUGGGCUCC